This 423-nucleotide long non-coding RNA is filed under the name Anser brachyrhynchus (Pink-footed goose). RNAcentral's name for it is "lncRNA (ENSABRG00000021259.1)". The record is from RNAcentral. Lineage: Eukaryota; Metazoa; Chordata; Aves; Anseriformes; Anatidae.
AGGAGGAUUUGGGAGCUUCUUGAUAACAUUGUGAUGGCACCUGCGAGUGCUGAUAACAUCGUGAUGGCACCUUGUAGACUUCUGCAGCCUGUGUCUGGUGUUUGGGGGCUUUUCUGUAGCGUUUGGGGCCUGCAUUUUGGCUUUGGGAUGUGUCUUGAGCUUCUGGGGCCUACCUGUAGUGCUUGGGGCCUGCGUCUGACAACCAGAAUCCUUAGAGCAAUUGGGUGGAAAUCACGGUUGAAACACCGGAUAGAUUGUGAACCUGGAUUACCGAGUCAAUGGGGAAACUGGGGAGGGUCCUGGUCACUGAGAGGAAAAAAAAAAUUUAUAUAAACUGUGUUAUGGAACUAGUAGGUGGCUUGUGGGAUGCCUGCCAUUGCAAUCGUGAAUAAAAAUGCUACCUCGGUGAGAUCCUUGCCUGAG